CGACGGCUCGCCGUCGGCGUGGCUGCGUUAUGUCGGACCGUUGCUGCAGGCGCGCGAUUGGGAGGCGACGGCGGUGCCGGAACUGCGGCAGUACGUGCAGCGGCUCGCCGAUACGCUGCUCGCGCCGCGCGACGAACGGGCGCUGACCUAGUGGCGCGGAGCGGCGCGCAUCCGCUUGCGGACGGUGGGCGGGCCGUCGUGCUUCAGGACGGGACGCAUAAAAUAGGAUUGCAUAUGAAUCAAUCAUAUGACGUGGUCGAGACGGCGCUGCGGCUGCGCGCCGGGUUGGCCGAGCAUCUGGGGGCGGCCGGCCCCGAUGUGGACGAGCCGCUCGUCGAUCAUGUCGGCGGCGCGCUGCCGCCGGCGCUGCUCGUCGACGUCGUGCGCGCGUGCGGCGGCAUGCAUGCGACGCGCGUCGACGUGCUCGGGUGCGCGACGCUGCGCGAGCUCGCGGCCUGGAUCGAGCGCACGGGCGGCGCGGCGCGCGAGCCUCGUGCCGCGCCCGACGCCGCGCCGACCGGCGCGCGCCCGGAAGCGCCGCUCGCGCCGGAGGACGCGGACGACGCGCCGGCUUCGCCCGCACAGGAAGAUCUGUGGCUCGCCGCGCAGGUUCAGGAGGAGGGCGCCGCAUAUCACCUGUCGAUCGCGCUGCGCUUAGACGCGCCCGUCGACGACGCGUCGAUGAGGCGGGCGCUCGUCGAGGUGAUCGCUCGGCAUCCGUCGUUGCGCACGACGUUUCGGCGCGAUGCGCAGGGUCUGCGGCAGUGCGUGCGCGCGGCGGCGCAGGCCGAGGUCGACUGGUCCGAGGCGGUGCUGCCGGCGCCGGACGAGGCCGGCGAGCGCGAAUCCGGCCUGCGCGACGCAUUGACGCGAUUCGCGCAGCCGCGCUUCGACCUGCACGCAGGGCCGCUGCUGCGUGCGCGCCUGCACCGCGGGGCGCCGGACUGCGACGUGGUGCAGAUCGUCGUUCAUCAUAUUGUCUUCGAUGCGUGGUCGCGGAUGGUCGUGUCGCGCGAGAUCGUCGACGCGUACCAUGCGCUGCGCGCGGGCCGCGCGAUCGCAUGGAGUGCCGCGGCGGCUUCGCCCGGCGCGUUCGCGCGCGGGCAGCGCGACGCGCUGACGCCGCAGCGGGUCGCCCGGUUGCGCGAAUACUGGCGCGCGCAACUGGCCGGCGUGCCGCCGGUGCUCGAUUUGCCGACCGAUUUCGCGCGCCCGGCCGUGCGCGACGGCAUCGGCGCGACGGCGCUGCGCAUGCUGCCCGCCGCGCUCGCCGAGCGGCUCGCGGCCGUCGGCGCCCGGCACGGCGCGUCGCUGUUCAUGACGCUGAUGGCCGCAUGGCAGAUCCUGCUGUGGCGCUGCAGCCGGCAGCACGAAUUCGCGAUCGGCACGCCGAUGGCGGCGCGCGACG
RNAcentral lists this ribosomal RNA (1408 nucleotides) under Burkholderia mallei 2002721280. RNAcentral's name for it is "16S ribosomal RNA". The record is from RNAcentral. Lineage: Bacteria; Pseudomonadati; Pseudomonadota; Betaproteobacteria; Burkholderiales; Burkholderiaceae.